UAAAAGCAAUUGUUGAUGGAGUUAUAAUUUGUGAUUUAAUUUGAUCUAUGUAUCUAUGAUUGGUUGCGCUAAUGGUGAUACUGGAUCCCUGAUAUAGCAAGUUUAAGGGAAACAAGUGUUGGUUGUUCAGGGAUAAAAACAGCAUCC
Molecule: long non-coding RNA, 147 nt
Organism: Bufo bufo (common toad)
Lineage: Eukaryota; Metazoa; Chordata; Amphibia; Anura; Bufonidae
Exons: 4
Source: RefSeq, a predicted model, not a curated record